This 670-nucleotide ribosomal RNA is filed under the name uncultured archaeon. RNAcentral describes it as "bacterial SSU rRNA". It matches the Rfam family "Archaeal small subunit ribosomal RNA", at positions 152 to 828 of the family's 1478-position model. The record is from RNAcentral.
CUCGAUAUUGAAAAGAUUCUGGAACGAACUUUUCGUUAAACGCAAGGUCUAAGGAUGAGUCGGCGGCGGAUUAGGCAGAUGGCGGUGUAAUGGACCACCAUACCUUAGAUCCGUAGGGGCCCUGAAAGGGGUAGCCCCGAGAGGGACACUGAAAUACUGGUCCCAGCUCCACGGAGUGCAGCAGGCGCGCAACCUCCACAAUGUGCGAAAGCAUGAUGGGGGGAUCCCGAGUGCUUACAUUUUUUGUAAGCUUUUGCCAAGAGCAAAUAUCUUGGAGAAUAAGUGGUGGGUAAGACCGGUGCCAGCAGCCGCGGUAACCCCGGCGCCACGAGUGGCAAUCUUAUAUUUGGCCUAAAGCAUUCGUAGCCGGUUUGAAAAAUCUUUUGUGAAAUCGUCGAACUCAAUACGACGGCAUGCAGGGGACACUUUCAGACUAGAGACUGGGAGGAGUUGGGGGUAUUUCUAGGGGAGCGGUUAAAUGCGAUAAUCCUAGAAAGACCACCUGUGGCGAAGGCGCCCAACUAGAACAGUUCUGACGGUGAGGGAUGAAAGCUAGGGGAGCGAUCCGGAUUAGAUACCCGAGUAGUCCUAGCCGUAAACACUGUGAGCUAGGUGUCGCAUAUUCUACGCGAAUAUGCGGUGUCGAAAUGAAGAUGCUAAGCUCACCGCC